This is a long non-coding RNA of Solanum lycopersicum (tomato), 1275 nucleotides long. RefSeq lists it as uncharacterized. Lineage: Eukaryota; Viridiplantae; Streptophyta; Magnoliopsida; Solanales; Solanaceae. The record is from RefSeq and is a predicted model, not a curated record.
UUUGGACUUUUGAUAUUUUCGAUUGCAGCAGCCCAUCUCUUUUCCAACUCCAACAAUUCUCUUUUAGUUCCCAGCCAAACAUACAACACAUGAUAACAACUAGACGCACACCAAAUGUGACCCCACCGCACCCUUCGUUCUUCUCUCCAAAAGUUCAAUGAAACCCAGUUCAUGCACUGAAAAAGCCCAGAACUCCAGCAAAGCAGCGGAUCAGACAACACCAAAGUCGUGUGACGUUAGUCCUCUCUUACUCUCGCGCGUCGUCCUCUUCUCUCAUACAUGGAGCAAUUUAGAGAUUCAGUCCAUGUGGCUCCAUCUCCUUGCCAAAUUGUCCUUUGCUCAAAAUCGACGGCCUACAUUAUCAAUCCGUUGGGAACUGGUACAAUUCCUGCAACAACCUUAUCUCUUAAAGAGGGAUUUGAAUUUCGAAUGGGGAAAAUAUCUUUUAAAAUUCCCCCCAAGUCUGACCUAGAUUUUCUUCUAUAAAUUCCCCAUCUUCUUCUUUAUUUCGGGGGUGGGGGAAAAAUAGAGUUAAUGGGUUACGAAGAAUAAAAGGGGAAGAAAUCGGAAGAAAGUAACACUCCAAUAGCCACAUUUUAGAUUUUCUUUCUUACGAAAGCUUUCGACGGAUCUUAUAAAAUUUAUAGUAGUUUAAUCGUAUGUUGAUUCCAAAAAGAAUCAUGAGUUUCUUUUAAUCUUGGUUUCUCACUUAUUUACUAUUCUCCGAAGUUCUUGGAUUCUCAUUGUGAUCGUGGAAAGCUUUUUCCCUGAUCGUCUAGUCUCAGUCGCUGCCAAGGAAGAGGCCAUGAAAUCCCAAAUAUUUAUGUCUUGAGUCAGCUGGUAGCAAGUCGUUAAGCAAGUUUCUGGAGGUUAAACAAAGCUGGAAUUCGAAUUUUCAAGCUCUUAAAUGCCAGAAAAAGAUGUUGUAUACACUGAUAUACAUGAUUUAUACAGUAAUAUACAGUCGUAAAUACUGUAUACAGGUUCAAAAACGACGAAGAAGGUUGAAAAAUACAGAAAAUGUGAAGUUCAAACUUAAAUAUAGAUUUAGGAGUUCAAAACGAGUCAAACACUUGAUGUAUAUCAUAUAUAGACUUGGUGUAUAUCUUAUCAUUUGAAGAUUGAAAGAAGCCCAAAAAAAUUUAAAAGAAUGGCCCCGCAGCAGUUUUUUUUUUUGGAAAUUUAGCAAAACAGCAACAUUUUAGUCUUUAGGGGACUCCUUAACAACAUUUUAACUAUUUAGUAAAAAUAGCAAUAUAUUAGUUGUUAACAUGA